RNAcentral lists this ribosomal RNA (372 nucleotides) under uncultured bacterium. RNAcentral's name for it is "bacterial SSU rRNA". It matches the Rfam family "Bacterial small subunit ribosomal RNA", at positions 527 to 896 of the family's 1533-position model. The record is from RNAcentral.
GUAGGGGGCGAGCGUUGUCCGGAUUUAUUGGGCGUAAAGAGCUCGUAGGCUGCUUCGCAAGUCGGACGUGAAAUCCCACGGCUUAACUGUGGGCGGCCGUUCGAUACUGCGAGGCUAGAGGCCGGUAGGGGGACGUGGAAUUCCUGGUGUAGCGGUGAAAUGCGCAGAUAUCAGGAGGAACACCGGUGGCGAAGGCGGCGUCCUGGGCCGGUCCUGACGCUGAGGAGCGAAAGCUGGGGGAGCAGACAGGAUUAGAUACCCUGGUAGUCCCAGCCGUAAACGAUGGGUGCUAGGUGUGGGAGGCUAUCGACGCCCUCCGUGCCGCAGCUAACGCAUUAAGCACCCCGCCUGGGGAGUACGGCCGCAAGGCUA